Molecule: transfer RNA, 73 nt
Filed under: Bos taurus (domestic cattle)
Lineage: Eukaryota; Metazoa; Chordata; Mammalia; Artiodactyla; Bovidae
Also listed under: 4 other names
Rfam family: tRNA
About the family: Transfer RNA (tRNA) molecules are approximately 80 nucleotides in length. Their secondary structure includes four short double-helical elements and three loops (D, anti-codon, and T loops).
Source: Rfam by way of RNAcentral
UCUCUGGUGGUCCAGUGAUUAAGACUCUGCUCUCUCAAUGUAGGGGACCUGGGUUUGAUUCCUGGUCAGGGAA